RNAcentral lists this long non-coding RNA (1242 nucleotides) under Fragaria vesca (wild strawberry). Its description in RNAcentral is "long non-coding RNA (FVES_LNC004497)". Lineage: Eukaryota; Viridiplantae; Streptophyta; Magnoliopsida; Rosales; Rosaceae. The record is from RNAcentral.
GUAGUGACAUACAGUUCACUAGAUUGACUCAUGAAUUUCUCCAAGAUGCGCUUCAGUUCGCAUUCAUGAGGAGGUAUACACAAAAGAAUUCUUGUUCAUUCUCACAAUGUGUUUUCAAAUGAAAACCAUUAGCAUGAAUGUCUUUAAAGCUCAACAUGGUUCCUUAGAAUGUUGUGGAUAGUUCCACUAUCUGCGAAGCACUCAAUGUCUCUAUGAGACAUAACUACAAGGAGUAGAUAGGCGAGUAAAUAGUUCUACUUGAACCAUUUAGAAGGAUUGAAAGAAGCUACGAAAAGCUGCAAUCCCGAGAGUGCAUAAAAAUUUCCGCGCGGAAUGACCUUUGCGCACUAAAACAGCCAUAACUUCUUCGUUAAAAUAGAUAUGGACGAACCGUAAAAAUUUCUGAAAACUAGACUCAUAGAGCUUUCCAAUGAUAUAAAGCUCACUGUCUGGUUCGUCCGGAGCUGUUCACAAAGCUCAAACGAAGUUGACUGUCCAAAAGGGACAGAUUGCUGUUUUUCGCAGAUUUGGCAUGUGCGAAGCUGUGAAGCUUGCAGGUGGCGUGUAGGCUUUUGCCUUAGCCAAAAGUGACGUGUGUAUGAUCAAAACCAAGUCCUUUCGAUCUUUCUAAGGUCGUAAACUCCAUGACUAGUUAGCAAAAGCUCCCUGACAUGAACAUAAACUAACUCAGAGGACCUAGAGGAUCCGAUUAUGAUGAUAAUUUUCCAGCUUUGAUAAGUCUUCAACGUCUUUUGCAAGACGGCAAUUGGUUUAAUAGCGUAGGGGGAUCCAAAAUCAAAAGCUUUCAAUAACUCCAAGUCAGUAUGACCAGGCAUGUCUGUGGAGGGUCGGUAGUGCGAGGCACACUUAAAACCACUAUCUCCUUAAUUUCGGACAAUUCUAAGACAUCACACUGAGCUUGGAUGAGCCUAGUUGAACAAUUGAUGAUGAAAAAUCCGCUAUAAGGUAGAAGACUUAACCGGAAACACGUGGGCGAUCCUCCUUGAGGAUGCAGUGCCAUGAGUCACCUUCAAAGGAAUGGACCAAAAUCGGCACAAUAUGCCAUGUUUCUAAGGACGAUGUAAGUGUACAUCUUGAUUGUAAAUCAAUAUGAACCAUAAGAGGAGAAUAGUUUCGCUUCGAAAAAUUCUCAAGGCAUUCAUUAUUGCUAAUGUGAGUACAUCGAGGUCUCAAAUAGACAAAGGACGUCGAUACAACGUCUUAGUACAUAUAACUUGGAAC